Molecule: long non-coding RNA, 2178 nt
Organism: Helianthus annuus (common sunflower)
Lineage: Eukaryota; Viridiplantae; Streptophyta; Magnoliopsida; Asterales; Asteraceae
Exons: 9
Source: RefSeq, a predicted model, not a curated record
CUUUUUCAUUUUCGUUUUCUCUCUCCCUCAAAGAUCUGGAUUUGGAUCUGGUUGGAUGUGCUAUCUCUUCACAAUUCACCACAAGUUAUGCCAGAGGUCAAAUCUCUAAUCUGAAAUCUUUCCCUCUCAUUUACAAUCUAGAUUUGAUUUGCUGAAAGAUCAAGACCAUGACCAGUUACGCCCCUGAUGAUGAAGAAGACCAAGAUGACGUUGAUGGUGAGUUAUGUAUCAGAGAUUCAGAGCAAGCCCUAACCCUAGAUUUCAAUAAUGUCAUCCAAGCAAGGUUCUGCACAAUUGUUUUUCUCCAUAGUUUUUGUUUACAUGAAUUUUGAAAUUUUACUAAAGUUAGUAUGUUAUGUCUCUGUUAUAAUUUGAUUUAUCAAAAAAAAAAAAAAAAUCUUGCUGCAAAGGUGGAAAAGUGAAGCCACUAAAGCAACCAAAGGCUGAAAAAAAGAAUACAAUGAGAUCUGUGGCGCGAUGGUGGAUCCAACGAGAACAAUGCUGAUAUAUUAUUUGGAGGGAUCACCAUUGUUGGUGGAAUUGUGGGAACACUGGGAGGAAGUAUUAUUCUGGAUCGCAUGAAUUCAACAAUCCCCAAUGCUUUUAAGCUUCUUUCCAUGAUUUCAGAAUUAGAGCACAUAUAGUGGAAACAUACUCCGGCCACCACCAGGAGGUUUGUGGGUUAAAAUGGUCAGCUUCUGGUCAACAGUUGGCUAGCGGUGGUAACGACAAUCUCUUACACAUUUGGGACAGAUCAGUGGCUUCUGUUAAUUCACCGAGUCAAUGGCUUCACCGGCUGGAGGAUCACACAGUUGCAGUGAAAGGCGGCUGUAAAGAAGAUGACUGGACCUAUCCCAGCUGUGGGAAUGUCAAAUUUUCAUUUAGGACAACUUGCAAUAUGCGUAACUGUACACAACCCAGACCAGCUGAUCAUAAUUCAUUUUACCCACUAACAACGGUGUUUGUGGUAGCCGGCGAACACGAUGGUGGUGUUUUAUGGUAAUUAAGCAGCGGCAACAACGGUGGCUAGCGGCCACAACCACACUCCGGCGUUAUCCGUAACCGAAUCAGCGCUGACGGUUCAAUGGUUUUAAGGCUAGAUUAGCUGCAAAUGCGAUUCCGGUCCAAUUUAUCUUCUGGUGAACGUGCUGCUGGCUAAGAGGUUCAGGAAGGUUGCUAAAUGUGUUGAGAUUGGAUUGGCACAGAUUAUGCUGCUAAUUUUCUCAUAGGUUACGUUUCUUAAUAAUAUUCUACAAGUGGAAAAUUUCUACUCCUUAUGGGUCUAACAGGUCAAUUUGGGUAAUGGGUCAAACUGGUUGAGAGUAACACGAAGUGUGUUCAAAAUGAUUUUUUUUUUUUUAACUUGGGUUGUACUUUGUCUCUAAUGGGUCAAAAUGGAUAAUCUUUGUUACAGUGGAGAUAGGUCAAACGGGUUGAAAGCCACACAAAGUGUUACAAAACAAGCAUAACUUCCCAAAUCAUCAUAUUUCGAAGUUUAAUUAUGAUCAUAAUAAUAUAGUAUUUAAUAAUCUUUUAGGAGUUUAUGCAUUAACUGUCUAUAAAAGCUUAAGAAAAGAAAAAAAAGGUGCUUGCAGGUUGGCCCAACUUGACCCAUAUUAACUCAUACUCAGUUUGACUUGUUUAGGCCCAAACCCAUUCUGACAUGUGACCCGACCCACUCAACCAGCCCUUCUUCCACCUCUAUUAUACUCCAAAAAGUUGGUCAUGUGACACUAAUGUUAAACUAUGAUGAUGUUUAUUGUAGUACAUACCCACUCUUAUGAAGGGAAAAAGCCAAGUAUAGGACCGAUUUGUUGUGUAAAAUGGUUGGUUUUAAUUUACUGGUUGCUGAAUGAUAAGGAUAUGUUUUUCUAGCACGAGAUUAUUGAUGCUACUAGAAGAGGAAGCAGGUUGUUUAACGUUGGGGGUUUUUUAGAUGAGACCACUUGUAUUUAUGGGAUCACUUUGCUUUUGUAAGGACUUGUGGGUUUAAUUUGGAUGAAAGGCUGGAUUAGGUAUCAAACAAUUCUUUUGCAAAGGUACCCAUUAACUUGUGUUGUUCAUUUGACCUUCUAUUGAUUGAAAGCAUUGUUGUGCUGCUACACAUCCUUGUUUCACCAAGUACACCUAGCUUAUUUUGUGUAUUGGCACAUAGGCUACCCAUCCAUACCUGCUUGU